AUGGAGGACAAGCGGAAGGCCGUCGCCAACAAUGAAGAGCGAAGGCAGCGCCAGCGGCGUGAGCGUGAGGCGGAAGCCGUGGAAGACACUGCGACUUCAGGGCGGACGCCGACUGCAGGCGGCAACGGGACUUCGCAGGAGCUUCCACGGGUGACGGCGGCGACUACGCCCGCUCUACGCCCCCCACCCGUCGCCUCUUCCCAGUUCGACAACGGGCGUCCGCAGCACGCGCAGAUCGGCAACGCCGGUGCGCCUCAGGGUCACGGCAGUACUGUCAUUGAUCAGCAGCGCCUCCGCGACCAGCCUUCUUCUUCACGGGCAAGAGCACCAGGAUGCACUUGUUGCGGCGGAGCGCCCACCACGCGGGUUGUUCUCAACCUGCCCGUGUGCGAGGCUUGCUACAGGCGGUUUUUUCACGCCGGUGCGCCUCAGCAGCACGCGCAGAUCGGCUACGCCGGUGCGCCUCGGGGAGCAGUGCGCAAUCCAGUGGCAGUCCCUACCCGUGAGCAGCAGUUCUUGGCUAACAUGGAUGCGCCGCCGAGGCCUUUUUCCAUGUUUCCCUUCCGGUGGGGCCCGGCGAACCCCGCACUGGAGCGGCAGUCUUCUUCACCAGCCCGCAAUGGGCCUCCGCAGCAGGCGCAGAUCAGGCCUCCACCCCUCCACACCUUGGCACCGCCACCGGAGCGGCAGUCUUCUUCACGGGCAAGGGAGCAGCAGCUCCAGGCCCAGGCUGAUGCGAUGAGGCUGCAGGUGGCCAAUAUUCUGAACAACCCUUUCUCGCUCGUCCGGUCGGGCCCGGCGAACCCAGCGCCUCAGCGGCAGUCUUCUUCACCAGGAUGCUACAGCAAUAUCUUCACCGGCAACGGGCCCUUGUUCAGCAGCGCCGGUGCACGUGCACCCCAGGCUCAGGGUCACGGUACUGCCAUUGAUCAGCAGCGCCAGCUCGACCUCCUCCGCGGCCAGCCUUCUUCUUCACAGGCAAGGGCACCAGGAUGCUCUUCUUGCGGAGCGCGCGCCACGCGGGUUGCUCUCAAGAUGCCCUUUUGCGACGCUUGCUUCAGGGAUACAUUCAUGGCCAACGCGCCUCCUCCUCAGCACACGCGGAUCGGCUCCAUGCUUCCGAGUCCAGUCCCCAGCUACAACUACGCGCAGACCGGCACCGUGCGUCCGCAGCACACGCUGGCCGGCAAUGUGUCUUCGAGUCCAGUCCCCACUCCCAGCAACGUGCAUCCGGAGCUCCCAGCAACGCCGUCGCCGAGUUCAGUUCCCACUCCCAGCAACGCCGGCGCGCCUCAGGGUCAGCAGCAGCACCGGGAUUCGGUGGUGGAACUGCUGGCGGCGACCGAGCCUUCUCCUCCGGCGGGUUCUCAGCGUGCCGCCUAUUCGAGGUGCGAGGCUUGCCGCUUGUCCGGCGAUAAGGCGUGCAUGUUUUGCCACAACCCCGGCCCACCGCCGCCACCGCCAGGGCAGAGCUAG
RNAcentral lists this ribosomal RNA (1476 nucleotides) under Triticum aestivum (bread wheat). RNAcentral describes it as "partial small subunit ribosomal RNA". The record is from RNAcentral. Lineage: Eukaryota; Viridiplantae; Streptophyta; Magnoliopsida; Poales; Poaceae.